GCUACAUUUUGCGACCAAUUAUGGAAGGAAAACUCCAUCCUGAAUAUCCGCACAAACGACCUCAAUGAACCCCACAGAAUGAGAGGAAACACACACACGAAUACGAAUACGAAUACGUGCAGGAAAAAGAGAGUGAAAACUUGUUCGUGCCAACAAAAUUCUGUAUAAAUUCGUGGGGCAUGCCACAACGCAGCAGCAUGCGCAGGGGGAGCAGGGGAGCGGGGAAUGUGCCAAACACACCACCUGGCGGAGGAAGAGCAGGGAAAAACACACGUAACACAAAUGAGCGUCAUCAAUCAAGUGAAAAAGGGAGAAAAGGGCGUGAGCAAGUGGCAAGGCAAAAACUCACUCAAGGAUAAAGGAUAAACACAGAGCUAACUUAAUUCCGGCAUCCAGGAAGUGUAAGUGGCGUGCUGCUGAUUUUUCCCCACUGAUAUUCGCAACAGCAAAAAAAGGCACAGCUGCCGCUGCUGCACAACUUUCUUUAAUAAGAACUUUUCCGCGCUCUCUACCUCUCCACCUCUCUCUCUUUCUACCAAACAAAUCUGG
Molecule: long non-coding RNA, 549 nt
Organism: Drosophila obscura
Lineage: Eukaryota; Metazoa; Arthropoda; Insecta; Diptera; Drosophilidae
Exons: 3
Source: RefSeq, a predicted model, not a curated record